This 1188-nucleotide long non-coding RNA is filed under the name Piliocolobus tephrosceles (Ugandan red Colobus). Its description in RNAcentral is "lncRNA (ENSPTEG00000009541.1)". The record is from RNAcentral. Lineage: Eukaryota; Metazoa; Chordata; Mammalia; Primates; Cercopithecidae.
AAAAAAAAAAAAGUAAAAUAAAAUAAUUUUUUGACAAAAAUAGAGUGUUUAUUAAGAUGGUUAAAACAAAUAUAUAAUUGUAUUGCUAAGGAGUUUAAGUAGUGCCUAGUAUUUGUAUAUUUGUUUUUAGGCAUUUAUUUAUAUAUAUGUUUUUACAUAUUUUUUUAUAUAUUUAUUUACAUAUACUAUAUAUUAUACACUAUACACGUAUAUAUAUAUAUACAUGUGUUAGUUCGAAUUAGUAGACACAUAAACCUUAUCUAAAUUGCUAAGUCUUAAUCUUCUUUGACUCUCCAGUUCAAUUAUAAAAUCCCAGUGGUUUUUACUUAUAGUAUGACACCCAUCUGAAAAGGCUAAAAUCCUUGUCAUACAUAUAUAUGAGUUUAAAACAAAUUGGUUUAUUUCUUUGUGUUUUUGUCUUAAGUUAACAAAUGUAUCAGUAAUAUAUUUUGUUAUAUCUGGAGUAAAUUUUGCACAGUGUGUUUUUGAUAAUAUAUAAUUUAUGUAUCUUCUAAAUUGCAUUAAUUCCAAUUUAUUUGGUUUAUAAUUUGUAUAAGUAUUUAUAAAAUCGGUAGAAAAUUUAUCGUUAUAAUUUUUUUCUUUUUUUUUUUCAUUCUUGUUAGAUAUGUGAUUAUCACUUGUGUUUUUUGGAGGGGCGUUUAUGUCGCGUUGUUCUUUCAAAUUGUUUUGUAUCUCAGUGUUGUCAUUUGUUUGUGCCUUUACAUGGUCAUUUGUUUGUGCCUUUACAUGGUCGUUUUUUUUGUGCAUUUAUAUUGUCAUUUUUUUGUGCAUUUAUAUUGUCAUUUUUCUUUUCUUCAGUAAAAAGACCACUUUGAAUAUGCGGAUGCAAAAUUGGAACCGAGAUAUCAUAGUAAUUUGUAAACAUAGAUUUUUUUUUUGAUAACCCUAAAAUAUUAUUCUCGGUUUUAAAAGUUAUAUCAGAAGUAAAAACGAAAGGAACAAGCUGAGAAGUAAUUAACAUUUCAAUACUUUGAAAAUUUUUUAUACUUAUAUUGUUAAGUUUCCCAGUCUCUAGUACACAUUCAUCAAAAACCAAAUAAGUGUUAUUUGCCAGUUGUAAUUUUCCUUUUUUUAAUUCACCACUUUCAUAGUCCAUAAUUGAUAUCAAAGAUUCAGAAUUUAAUUUGUUUAAAUAAAAAGGAAUGUGUCUAUAUAAGGAAACUAAAU